UCGAAAAGAAUAUUGCCAAGCGACUGUUCUUGCUGCUGCAACAUUCUUCCCGUUAUGCGCAAUCAACUUUGCCUGCAUAUUUAUUGGAGGCCAUAUCUCAGUGCAACGGCGAAGAUGGCGGCGGCGGCGGCGACGGUGGCAGCGACGGCGGUGACGGCGCCCAUUCACCAACACAAAACCAAAAUAAUAAGUGCACGCGAUUAAAUGAAAAAAUAUAUUGCUUUUAAUGUUAGUUGGGUUGCGUCUGUUUACUUUCUACAUUUUAUGGCACUCUUGUUUGCACUGUUGUUGAUAUUGAUAGCGAUGUUAACCUACAGCUGGUCAACAUUAGCAUUUUAUUGCGUUAAAUCACGUUCCAAUCAAUUAUAUUUGUUUUGUUUUUGGCA
Molecule: long non-coding RNA, 386 nt
Organism: Drosophila arizonae
Lineage: Eukaryota; Metazoa; Arthropoda; Insecta; Diptera; Drosophilidae
Source: RefSeq, a predicted model, not a curated record